This 769-nucleotide ribosomal RNA is filed under the name Geastrum inpaense. RNAcentral describes it as "eukaryotic LSU rRNA". It matches the Rfam family "Eukaryotic large subunit ribosomal RNA", at positions 133 to 887 of the family's 3401-position model. The record is from RNAcentral. Lineage: Eukaryota; Fungi; Basidiomycota; Agaricomycetes; Geastrales; Geastraceae.
GCCGUCCGAGUUGUAAUCUAGAGAAGUGUUUUCCGCGCUGGGCCGUGUCCAAGUCCUUUGGAACAAGGCGUCAUAGAGGGUGAGAAUCCCGUCUAAGACACGGAUGAUCAGUGCUUUGUGAUACACUCUCAACGAGUCGAGUUGUUUGGGAAUGCAGCUCAAAAUGGGUGGUAAAUUCCAUCUAAAGCUAAAUACAGGCGAAAGACCGAUAGCGAACAAGUACCGUGAGGGAAAGAUGAAAAGCACUUUGGAAAGAGAGUUAAACAGUACGUGAAAUUGUUGAAAGGGAAACGCUUGAAGUCAGUCGCGUCUUCAGAAACUCAGCCUGGCUCUUGCCUGGUGUACUUUUCUGUUGGACGGGCCAGCAUCAGUUUUGGCCGCCAGAGAAAGGUGAGAGGAAGGUGGCACCUCCGGGUGUGUUAUAGCCUCUCACCGUAUGUGGUGGUUGGGACUGAGGACCGCAGCACGCCUUUAUGGCCGGGGUUCGCCCACGUAACGUGCUUAGGAUGCUGGCGUAAUGGCUUUAAACGACCCGUCUUGAAACACGGACCAAGGAGUCUAACAUGCCUGCGAGUAUUUGGGUGGUAAACCCAUAUGCGGAAUGAAAGUGAAUAGUUGGGACUUCUGUCAUGGAAGGCACCGACGCCCGGACCAGACCUAUUGUGACGGCUCCGAGGUAGAGCAUGUAUGUUGGGACCCGAAAGAUGGUGAACUAUGCCUGAGUAGGGUGAAGCCAGAGGAAACUCUGGUGGAGGCUCGUAGCGAUUCU